AAAAGAUGAAACUCGGAAAACCACUCGCGUCCUGCGAGUAACGCCGAGUACCCUCGUCACGAGGG
Molecule: small RNA, 65 nt
Filed under: Halalkalibacter nanhaiisediminis
Lineage: Bacteria; Bacillati; Bacillota; Bacilli; Caryophanales; Bacillaceae
Description: Bacillus nanhaiisediminis Bacillaceae-1 RNA
Source: RNAcentral